AUGAACAAACAGCGGCAAAACAUGCUGAAAUCAGAAGCGGCAGCCGAAGCUGGAGUCGAGAGCUCACCAAAUGGGGAGUCCUGGGAGGCGAGCCGGCUGGCCGCGCCGAGGCCCCGCUCCUCGAGGGGCUGGGCCCGCGCCUGCUCGAGCAGGAAGGCGAAGUCAGCGCCCUUGCUGCGCGGCGCCACCUCGCCGGCCCAUUCCGCGGCGUCGUCGGCCUCGGGUUCUUCCUCGAAGCGGUCCCAGUUGGAGGGGAGGUUGCGGCUGCGAGGGGCGGAGGAAGAGGAGGAGCCGCCGCCGCCUCCGCCGGCGGCGGCCGCGCGCUUCUGCUUGUGCGCCGCGGCCGCCGCGGGGGUCUGGUGGGUCCGGCGGCCGUGCACCGUGUGCGAGCGCUUCGACCUCGCCGCCGCCUUGGGAUCCAUCGGGGGAGCAGCGGAGCAGAGGGGAGGGAUUGAUUUUUGCAGUUCAACCCCUAAUACUCUUCAUAAGAACAAAUGUGUGCUCGCCGAGGGUUUCUAUGUAAAUUCGCGGGGCCACAUUUAUAAUUAUACAGUUUCACGAGGGCCUUUAAGCUUCUACGAUUUCAGGACAGUUCCGCAGAGCAGAGAGAACAGAGGCAAAACCCUUCCGUGGCUGGCUUGA
RNAcentral lists this ribosomal RNA (642 nucleotides) under Triticum aestivum (bread wheat). RNAcentral's name for it is "partial small subunit ribosomal RNA". The record is from RNAcentral. Lineage: Eukaryota; Viridiplantae; Streptophyta; Magnoliopsida; Poales; Poaceae.